GAUCCUGGCUCAGAUUGAACGCUAGCGGCAGGCCUAACACAUGCAAGUCGAACGGUAACAGGAAGAAGCUUGCUUCUUUGCUGACGAGUGGCGGACGGGUGAGUAAUGUCUGGGAAACUGCCUGAUGGAGGGGGAUAACUACUGGAAACGGUAGCUAAUACCGCAUAACGUCGCAAGACCAAAGAGGGGGGACCUUCGGACCUCUUGCCAUCGGAUGUGCCCAGAUGGGAUUAGCUAGUAGGUGGGGUAACGG
RNAcentral lists this ribosomal RNA (253 nucleotides) under uncultured bacterium. RNAcentral describes it as "partial 16S ribosomal RNA". It matches the Rfam family "Bacterial small subunit ribosomal RNA", at positions 15 to 263 of the family's 1533-position model. The record is from RNAcentral.